CCUACGGGAGGCAGCAGUGGGGAAUAUUGCACAAUGGGCGCAAGCCUGAUGCAGCCAUGCCGCGUGUGUGAAGAAGGCCUUCGGGUUGUAAAGCACUUUCAGCGGGGAGGAAGGCGUUAAGGUUAAUAACCUUGGCGAUUGACGUUACCCGCAGAAGAAGCACCGGCUAACUCCGUGCCAGCAGCCGCGGUAAUACGGAGGGUGCAAGCGUUAAUCGGAAUUACUGGGCGUAAAGCGCACGCAGGCGGUCUGUCAAGUCGGAUGUGAAAUCCCCGGGCUCAACCUGGGAACUGCAUUCGAAACUGGCAGGCUAGAGUCUUGUAGAGGGGGGUAGAAUGCCAGGUGUAGCGGUGAAAUGCGUAGAGAUCUGGAGGAAUACCGGUGGCGAAGGCGGCCCCCUGGACAAAGACUGACGCUCAGGUGCGAAAGCGUGGGGAGCAAACAGGAUUAGAUACCCUAGUAAUC
This 465-nucleotide ribosomal RNA is filed under the name uncultured Klebsiella sp. Its description in RNAcentral is "bacterial SSU rRNA". It matches the Rfam family "Bacterial small subunit ribosomal RNA", at positions 338 to 795 of the family's 1533-position model. Lineage: Bacteria; Pseudomonadati; Pseudomonadota; Gammaproteobacteria; Enterobacterales; Enterobacteriaceae. The record is from RNAcentral.